UGAUUUCGUGGUCGUGGACACGAGUACGAAGCUUAGAGGAGUGUGGAAUUAGUUCGAACGAUUUUAUUUCGAAAACUGAACGUUUUAGGGGGGGUCAAAGGAGUUGACUUUUUAUACAUUGGGAAUUUGGGAAAACUUCCUUCAUGAAAGUUGUAGAGCUCGUCGAUACGAUCUCGUGCAUAUGUGGAACGUAAAAAUCGGAGUUCGUAUGAGAAAGUUAUGAUCAAUUGAAAUUUGGGGAAAUUUCUAUAAAUAGCAAAAAAAUCCCGAACAUUUCCAUUUCUGCAGAUUUUUCUCUCCCGAGCCCAGAUUUCGGCCUCUCUCUUCCACCGGCCAUAUCUCCCUCCACAGACCUCCGAUCGACUUGAUUCCAAAAGCAUUUUCAUUCGCCUUGAAGUCAGUUAAAACUUCCUAGAAGACAUCAAAGUGAGAAAAGAACCAUGGAAGGCGCUAGGAGGCCGAGAAGCUGCACAGCUCGAGCUGGAAUUCGCCCGAUGCUGCUCUUCCUUCACCGGCCGAUAUCUCUCUCAUCCGACCUCGAAUCGAGUUGAUUCCAAAAGGGAUUUUGUUGGGCUUGAGCUAUAUUACAACUUUGUAGAAGACAUCGAGGGGAAUUAACCAACGUGGUAGCCGCUACAAGUCGAAGAACACGGUGCAGUCGAGCUGGAAAUCACCUCCUUUCCCCACCGUCGUUCUCCCAAUUCCGGCCACCAUAGCUCGAGUUCUUUGAGGGCUUUUCUAGCCCAGAGGCUGUAGAUGCUUCCCUCCAAGCGGCUUGCAACGAUUUCACCCGUGGAGCUCGAAUUUUGAAGAUUGGGAAACUAGGGUUCUUCGGGUUUCACAACUUGCGAGGUGAUUGACGGUCUCCCUUGGGUGAGCGGUUUCGGUGUGUAUUGUGUUGAAUUGAAGACGCAGCGGGAUUAUCGAGCGGGUAAUCCUACAGGACAGGAGAACCAGGACGGUGAUCGUGCGGUUAAAGCAAUUGUUAGAGUUUUACAGCAAUUGUAAGUUGUGAGGUGUGUUAUGCUCAUUUAGAGCUUUACAAUAUUGCUUGUGAGAGUGAAUUGUAAUAAUGAACUCGAGGUUUCGAGAUUUGGAGUUUGUGUACCGUGUGGUGAGGUUAUAUUGAGAAAAAAAUUCAGAACGUUUAUUUGAUUAAGUGGUUUAAUUCAUGUUUCGGAUUUGAAUUUAUCAUUCAAAAUUCGGGGCGUGACAAUUGUUCUAAGGUAAACACACAGUAACAUAUUGAAAAUAAAAGGACAAAGUCGCAGAAAAAGGGAGUGAAGAGAUACGGUGGAUGUUGCUUGAAGAUGGAUGUUCACGGUGGUGGUAGACGGCGACUUUGGCGGCUUCUUUUCCUUAUGCUUGUAUGGAGCUUCGAAAAUCAGAGAGCUAGGGCUGUUUUGAGGCGUGAAAUCUGUAUGAUAUGGUCCCCCCCUGACGCCAAGAAGCCUCCUCUUUUUAUUGUUUACAAGCCCCUAACUUUUCUCCUCCAAACCGGGUUGAGUUCUCCUUAUUCUUCUCCAAUUCCACUUGCUUAGUUGCCACACAAUCUUCUGAACCUUCCUUAAGUCUUUCUAACCAUCUCUUGAUAAGUAUAAUGCAGCAAAAAUCCAAUAAAAUUCGUCCCAAAAUCUGCCAAAAAUAUCUUCAGAAAAUAUAGCCUUUAAUUCACUUUCCUUUCUCAACUAGGAUUGAUUUUCCUCUCCAUGUUUGACGAGGGUUCCUGGCAGAUUCGAAGGUAA
Molecule: long non-coding RNA, 1745 nt
Organism: Rosa rugosa (rugosa rose)
Lineage: Eukaryota; Viridiplantae; Streptophyta; Magnoliopsida; Rosales; Rosaceae
Exons: 3
Source: RefSeq, a predicted model, not a curated record